CGAUUUAGCACAGUUGGUAGUGCAACGCACUCGUAACGCGUAGGUCAUUGGUUCGAAUCCGAUAAUCGGC
Molecule: transfer RNA, 70 nt
Filed under: human gut metagenome
Also listed under: 1 other name
Rfam family: tRNA
About the family: Transfer RNA (tRNA) molecules are approximately 80 nucleotides in length. Their secondary structure includes four short double-helical elements and three loops (D, anti-codon, and T loops). Further hydrogen bonds mediate the characteristic L-shaped molecular structure. tRNAs have two regions of fundamental functional importance: the anti-codon, which is responsible for specific mRNA codon recognition, and the 3' end, to which the tRNAs corresponding amino acid is attached (by aminoacyl-tRNA synthetases). tRNAs cope with the degeneracy of the genetic code in two manners: having more than one tRNA (with a specific anti-codon) for a particular amino acid; and 'wobble' base-pairing, i.e. permitting non-standard base-pairing at the 3rd anti-codon position.
Source: RNAcentral